Molecule: ribosomal RNA, 752 nt
Filed under: uncultured organism
Description: bacterial SSU rRNA
Rfam family: Bacterial small subunit ribosomal RNA
Source: RNAcentral
CUCAACCUCGAAACUGCAUUGGAAACUGCGUUACUUGAGUGUCAGUGAGGAAAGCGGAAUUCCUGGUGUAGCGGUGGAAUGCGUAGAUAUCAUGAAGAACACCGACGGCGAAGUGCAGCUUUCUGGCUGACAACUGACCCUGAUGAACGAAAGCUAGGGUAGCGAACUAGGAUUAGAUACCCUGGUAGUUCUAGCUGUAAACGUUGUGCACUGGAUGUGGGCGGAUUUGGUCCCGUCUGUGUCUGAGCGAAGGCGUUAAGUGCACCGCCUGGGGACUACGGCCGCAAGGCUAAAACUCAAAGGAAUUGGCGGGGGCCCGCACAACCGGUGGAGCAUGUGGCUCAAUUCGAGGCAACGCGAAGAACCUUACCUGGGUUUGACAUAUACCUGACCGCCGGUGAGAGCCGGUUUCUCUUUGAGCAGGUAUACAGGUGCUGCAUGGCUGCCGACAGCUCGUGCUGUGAAGUGUUCGGUUAAGUCCGGCAACGAGCGCUAAUCACGCUGUUAGUUACCAUCAAGUGAAGCUGGGGACUCUAACAGGACUGCCCGUGCUAAGCGGGAGGUAGGCGUGGACGACGUCUAGUCCGCAUGGCCCUUACGCCCAGGACUGCACACGUGCUACAAUGGCCGGUACGGAGGGUCUCCACUCUGCGAAGAGGAGCUAAUCCCGCAUACCGGCCCCAGUUCGGAUUGGAGUUUGCAAUUCGACUCCAUGAAGUAGGUAUCGGUAGUAAAGGCCGUAUCAGCAACGG